RNAcentral lists this ribosomal RNA (273 nucleotides) under uncultured prokaryote. RNAcentral describes it as "partial 16S ribosomal RNA". It matches the Rfam family "Bacterial small subunit ribosomal RNA", at positions 524 to 796 of the family's 1533-position model. The record is from RNAcentral.
UACGUAGGAGGCGAGCGUUAUCCGGAUUUACUGGGCGUAAAGCGCGUGUAGGCGGCUUUUUAAGUUGGCAGUGAAAGGUUCCGGCUCAACUGGGAUUUGCCUGUCAAUACUGGGGAGCUUGAGGGCACCAGAGGAAAGUGGAACUCGCGGUGUAGCGGUGAAAUGUGUAGAUAUCGCGAGGAACACCAGUGGCGAAGGCGGCUUUCUGGGGUGUUCCUGACGCUGAGGCGCGAAAGCGUGGGGAGCGAAGCGGAUUAGAAACCCUAGUAGUCC